Molecule: unclassified non-coding RNA, 320 nt
Filed under: plant metagenome
Description: partial contains 5.8S ribosomal RNA, internal transcribed spacer 2, and large subunit ribosomal RNA
Rfam family: 5.8S ribosomal RNA (bases 1-105)
Source: RNAcentral
GAAAUGCGAUAAUUAAUGUGAAUUGCAGAAUUCAGUGAAUCAUCGAGUCUUUGAACGCACAUUGCACCCCCUGGUAUUCCGGGGGGUAUGCCUGUCCGAGCGUCAUUGCUGCCCUCAAGCCCGGCUUGUGUGUUGGGUCCUCGUCCCCCCCCGGGGGACGGGCCCGAAAGGCAGCGGCGGCACCGCGUCCGGUCCUCGAGCGUAUGGGGCUUUGUCACACCGCUCUCGUAGGCCCGGCCGGCGCUGGCCGACGCUGAAAAGCAACCAUUAUUUCUCCAGGUUGACCUCGGAUCAGGUAGGGAUACCCGCUGAACUUGAGC